CCCUUAGAUGUUCUGGGCCGCACGCGCGCUACACUGUUUGAUUCAGCGAGUCUUAACCUUGACCGAAAGGUUUGGGUAAUCUUCUAAAGUCAAACGUGAUGGGAAUCGAUCAUUGCAAUUAUUGAUCGUGAACGAGGAAUUCCUAGUAAAUGCAAGUCAUCAGCUUGCGUUGAUUACGUCCCUGCCCUUUGUACACACCGCCCGUCGCUACUACCGAUUGAAUGGUUUAGUGAGAUCUCCGGAUUGGCUCUGUAGGUCCCGCAAGGGAUUUAUUAGUAGCCAAGAAGCUGCUCAAACUUGAUCAUUUAGAGGAAGUAAAAGUCGUAACA
RNAcentral lists this ribosomal RNA (329 nucleotides) under uncultured eukaryote. Its description in RNAcentral is "partial 18S ribosomal RNA". It matches the Rfam family "Eukaryotic small subunit ribosomal RNA", at positions 1470 to 1796 of the family's 1831-position model. The record is from RNAcentral.